CAUAUCAACUUUUGAUACCCUUGACUGUACCUACCAUGGUGACCACGGGUAACGGGGAAUCAGGGUUUGAUUCCG
This is a non-coding RNA of Pelobates cultripes (western spadefoot toad), 75 nucleotides long. Lineage: Eukaryota; Metazoa; Chordata; Amphibia; Anura; Pelobatidae. The record is from the annotation of a GenBank genome assembly.